UCCUUUGUCAGCAGCACAUGCCUCAGUAUCUAAGGAGGACUGUGUUUCUAUUCUCACAAGCCAGAGAGAGAGAGAGAAGGGAGAUGACCUUGGUUUUUCAGACUGUGGAGCGGCCUUGCUGCCUGCAUGCACUGAGGAGAUAAGCAGAAGUGCUGAGGAGCCAACGUGACAAACCCUGACGCCACACAGUGCUAAAGCUGGACUCUCCAGCACUGAUAGGCUGUAUAUAUACAGGAAUACUGCAGGACUGGCUCAUGUGAUGCUUCCAUUCAACAUCUGUACACCCACACACAGCCCCCUCUUAUCUGCCCCAUAUACUGACUCAUUUUUCAACCAACUUUAAUUACAGUUGCAUGGUGGAGAAUAAUGGAGCUUAAAAAGAGAUGGUGACAGCAAAUGUACUGGAACUAUUGUGGCCCUGCCUGGGAGUGCUGAAUUGUUUGUUCAGUCCUACAGACAUGACCCUUGCUGAAAUAUGCAGGGGCAGACACAAAGACUCUGGUGAGGAUGCAUCUGGAUGCACCAGACCACUGAACGCUCUGGGGUGACGUGAUGGGUGAUGUACUGCAAGUUGUCAGGGUAAAUGACUUGAAGAUUUCUGAGCUGGUGGAUACAGAAGCUCUGUGAUGUAACUAACCGGAUUAACGGUUAGCUAGGACUUCAUGGGAGGAAAAUGCAGUGUGGACUCCUCAUCCUCUGCUGCAAUGGCAACACAUACAGCAUUAAAUGUAUAGAAGAUACACUUACACACACACACACUGGAAUUACAUACACACCUUUACUGUCUAUGACAAACUAAGGAUGAAGAAAGAGUGACCACAUGAUCAACAAAUUAUGUUCAUGCAACCGUUGUUUGAGGCAAAGAACACCAGAAUGACUAAAACCAUUAAAAACUAGGUAGCCUCUAGAAUAAUGUCAAAUAGGGUAUUGAAUUUUCACAAAGGUAUCUUUACUUCUGAUGAGUCCUACAGUACAUUACAAUUCCUACAAAUUAAACAACAAAAUAUUCUUAUUGUCUUUAAAAACAACCAAUAUUAACAUAUUCCUGCCUCAUGGACAGGAUGACAUACUCAUCCCUGCCAUCCAAACAUCUCACCAAUCACCAUUGAUUCAUAUGACUGUUCCUGAUCUGCCACUGAUUGUUAAGUUCAGGCAGAAAAAACUACUUAGGGUUGGAGAAUGAUUGUGGUUUGG
Molecule: long non-coding RNA, 1194 nt
Organism: Thunnus maccoyii (southern bluefin tuna)
Lineage: Eukaryota; Metazoa; Chordata; Actinopteri; Scombriformes; Scombridae
Exons: 3
Source: RefSeq, a predicted model, not a curated record